Myxocyprinus asiaticus (Chinese sucker) is the source of this 1657-nucleotide RNA transcript. It is a transcript of the gene named CMRF35-like molecule 8, with no coding region annotated. NCBI's taxonomy places the organism in Eukaryota, Metazoa, Chordata, Actinopteri, Cypriniformes, Catostomidae. The transcript is spliced from 6 exons. The record is from RefSeq and is a predicted model, not a curated record.
UGCAAUGCGUCAGAACAGCUUUCCACAAAUGCAGCUUAAUCAGACACAGUAGAAGCAACCGCUGACCAUGGACAACUUCAGUGAUUAAAAAUCAAACACAUUUUCUGUUUGGUGUAAUUACUGCAAAGCUUUUUUGUGAUAUUAUCUUAUGAAAAACAAUGAUUGGCAAAUUUUUGAUCAUCUUCAUUCUCUACUCAGUGUUGCAGUUCUUUGUGAUACACUUUGUGAACUCAGUGUAACUGGAUAUGUGGGUCAAACAGCCAAUAUUGACUGCACUUAUGCACAAGAGAACACCUUCUACCCAAAAUACUUCUUCAAAAUAUCACCAGGACGCAAUAUCAAAUCCAUUUACACAUUAAAAGGAAGAAAGUUUCUCCGUGAUGGCAGAGUAUCUAUGCAUGAUUAUUAUCAGAGGAAAGUUUUUCAAGUAACAAUAGAUACCCUGACUGAAAAUGAUGUUGGACUUUAUGCUUGUGCAGUUGGCAAAGGUCAUAGUGUGGAAACUUUUGUUCUGGUCAAACUUUCAGUGAUGACAGCUUCUCAACCACAAGAAAAGACAGUCAGACCCUCUGUCGAAUGCACAGACAGAUCACACAGCAACAUGACGACAGGACUGUUCACAUCAACACUGUCAGCUGUUACUGAAAUGUCCAAAGAAUACAAACAGUCAACAGCAUCAUCAGGUAGUUGGCAGAUGAAGAUGGAGAAAUACUCAAACCAUACCCAGAUCAAAAUCCCAGGAGAUCAGCAGUUACAGGAAUAUUCAAACCAGCCCAUCUGGCAUCAACAAUCAUGCCAUGGUCCAAAUCACCGAGAUCACAUUUUAUCCCCAUUCUGAUGGUUGAUGUGAACAUUAACUGGAGCUCCUGACCUGUAUCUGAAUUAUUUUAUGCAUUGCUGCCACAUGAUUGGCUGAUUAGAUAAUUACAUGAAUAAGUAGAUGUACAGGUGUUCCUAACAAAGUGCUCAGUGAGUGUGUAUACAUACAUACAUACAUACAUACAUGUGUGUGUAUAUAUAUAUAUAUAUAUAUAUAUAUAUAUAUAUACACACACACACACAAACACACACACACACAACUUAUAUUUUGAAAUAUUUACAUAUUUAUUUUGAAGGGACAGCGAAAACACAUCUGAUCAAGUCAAAUGCCCAUUUACAUACAGUGCAAAAAUAAAAUGUCUUUGUAUUGUUGUGUAUUCGAAAUUGUCAUAUUACAAUGGUGAUUCAGAUUAUGAUAACAAUAUUAUUAUAAUUGUAUUAUUAUUAUUUUACUACCACCAUAUAUAUAUAUUAAAGAACCAAUUUCCUCUGUCAUACUCUAUUUUGUCUGUGUUUCCCAGCAGAAGUGUCGGCAUUGCAAAACACAAGGUACAGGAAGAGUGCAAAUACACGGACUGAUAAUUAUGAAAUUGGCCAGAAGACUGAAAACGUGUACAAUCAAUCAGACAGUAGCAAGUGCCAAAACUCGAUCUACCAGACUCUACACCUGAAUCAGCCUGAUCCAAUUUAUCAAUGUCUAAACAUUAAAACUAACAGAAGAAACUAGCUUCAUUUUAACUGUGUGUGUUUGUGCAUAUAACAUACUUGUAAUUAACUUAAGGUCAUAUUAUACACAUUUUAUCUCUCUCUCUAUAUAUAUAUAUAUAUAUACACACAC